RNAcentral lists this ribosomal RNA (301 nucleotides) under uncultured bacterium. RNAcentral describes it as "partial 16S ribosomal RNA". It matches the Rfam family "Bacterial small subunit ribosomal RNA", at positions 509 to 809 of the family's 1533-position model. The record is from RNAcentral.
CAGUAGCCACGGGAAUACAGAGGCCUCAAGCGUUGUUCGGAUUCAUUGGGCGUAAAGGGUGCGUAGGUGGCUUGGUAAGUUGAAGGUGAAAUCUCGGGGCUUAACCCCGAAACUGCCUUCAAUACUGCUAGGCUCGAGGACUGUAGAGGAGAAUGGAAUUCACGGUGUAGCAGUGAAAUGCGUAGAUAUCGUGGGGAAGACCAGUGGCGAAGGCGAUUCUCUGGGCAGCUCCUGACACUGAGGCACGAAGGCCAGGGGAGCAAACGGGAUUAGAUACCCCCGUAGUCCCGUCUCUUAUACA